UUAACUCAAAUUUGUACGGAAUUGGAACGUUUGCAUGCGUUUGUCGCUAAGGGCGCUGUUCCAACUGGAUACACUACUUAUGAUA
RNAcentral lists this microRNA precursor (85 nucleotides) under Bombyx mori (domestic silkworm). RNAcentral's name for it is "mir-2807 microRNA precursor family". It matches the Rfam family "mir-2807 microRNA precursor family". Lineage: Eukaryota; Metazoa; Arthropoda; Insecta; Lepidoptera; Bombycidae. The record is from Rfam by way of RNAcentral.